UCGCGCUCGGCCUGGUGGUGGCGGAGGCGGGGCCGCUGUGGGCGGUCUACGCGCUGGCGUUCGUGCUGGCGUGCGCGGA
Molecule: transfer RNA, 79 nt
Filed under: Actinomadura macrotermitis
Lineage: Bacteria; Bacillati; Actinomycetota; Actinomycetes; Streptosporangiales; Thermomonosporaceae
Description: Actinomadura sp. RB68 tRNA-His
Source: RNAcentral